Mauremys reevesii (Reeves's turtle) is the source of this 1243-nucleotide long non-coding RNA. RefSeq lists it as uncharacterized. The record is from RefSeq and is a predicted model, not a curated record. The transcript is spliced from 5 exons. Lineage: Eukaryota; Metazoa; Chordata; Testudines; Geoemydidae.
GCUGGGGAGCUCCAGCCUGGAAAGCCCCAGACUGUGGCCUAGCAUUGGGCUAACAGGUCCUCUGGCCAGAACUGUGAAAAUUGUGAUCAGAAGGAAGUAGCUGAGAUUCUCUGAGAUCAAGGCAGGCAAUGCACAUACAAGGUCUAACUGAGAUAUGCCUGAACCUCACUGAAGCACACCCACUUACAGCAGGUCUGAAUUUGGCCCACAUUCUGAAUACAGGGAUUCUUCCUAAGAAGCAACCAGGGCUGGUGGAACAGGAUCUGGGGCUUCAAAUAAAUCACCAUGAGAGUUGUCGAGAGAUAAAGUCAGAAGAGUUGACAGUACUGAAAGUUGUACUGGAAGGAAUAAAAAUAUGACUGGUUAAAUGACAAGCUUCAGGGAAUACAAACAAGCAUUUGGGGAGAGUUGUAACAGAGGAGAGAAAUUGAUUAUAGUGAUCUCAGCCUAAGAAGCCCUGGAAUGUAAUUCCUUUCCAAGAUGUGCUCAGUUGAGACGUAAUGACAUUGACUUGGCGUGCAAAAGAAAGUAGUAAGAAGAGCAUGGAAUGGAUUUUUUUAACACUAUCGAGCUGCACACGUAUGACUUUGUGACUACACAUAUUGGUGACUUCUUUCUCUGAAUGUCACUGUAAUUGGCAGUGAAAGUUGCUAGAUUUGUCACUGGUCACUUUGACACUUAUUUUCUCACUAGGGAAACCAAAAAGUUGCCAAAUCUAAUAGCUAAACUGGCAACACAAUUUUUAAAUGCAACUGUAAUUUGGAUUGGAUUGAAUAAGGACAGAAGCUGACUGAGAGAGACUGGUGGAGUCUACUGCCCCCUCAAAAGGUCAUUAUCCAUGAUGUGAGUUCUACAGAUUCAUUUGAAAGAGAUGUGAUGGCCUUGCCUGCACUGAAAUUUGUAAAGAAACCUCCAACCAUUUCUUUGAGCAGGAUUACAUGACCCGAGGACUAAAAAAUUAGCAGUCAGUUUAAGCAGUGCCCCUACUACUGCAAUGGUGGGAGAUGUCCCUAAAAAUCUCAUCCGUCUAGACAAUGCUUUAGAUGAUGGAGUGCUGUCUGUACUGACAUAAAGUGAGAUCUCAGGCUGAGACAUGUUGUGGAAUGUUCUUGUAAGAAUUUUGUAGAACUUUGAAUUAUAAAAUACCCAUGGUGUUUGUAUGAAGAACAUUAUGUACACAACAGAUAUUGUAUAAAGAUGUCCAUAACCCACUCUAAGUUUAGUUUCAGCAAAAGCUACAAAA